CGUUCACAUAGAGCCACCAUUCAAACUUUAAAACGAAGACAAGACAUUCAACUAUUCAACUUGUAUUUAUCUUUUCAAUAUCUAUUAUACUUUUUCUUCAGUUCCAGUUUAAGUUUCAUGAUGUUUUUUCACCCGUUUCAGAGUUUAUAAUGGGUGUGUAUGGGACGGAAUGUUGGGGCUAGAGUGAGGCAGCUCAACUGCUAGAGUGAGAGGAGCAAAAAAAUUAAUCUUAAAAUCUUUUUUAAAACUGCUGCUGUGUCCACAGCGUUUGCUCUACAGGUAUGAUUUUACCCUCAAAACGUAGCCAUGGCUGUCCUCUUUCAUCCAAUGUGUUUACUAUUGUCCUAGGUGUUAUGGUUCUUUCAUAAAUGUCACCAAUGCACAGCCUCCUCCCUCCAACUCUUCCAUAGACUCUAAUGUUAAAACGGCUCAGAAGGUUGGUUUGAAAAUCAGAAGAGCAUGGUGUUUUUACACUGUCACCACGUCCAUAUAAUAAACUCCACAGGCAUGAAAACUGAGAAUUCAGUAGACUAGAAGCUGCUGUCGCUCACGGUGAAAGAAUUUCGUCAAUACGACUUGUACUUUUCAUAUGGGAACGAUUUGUUUCGGCCUGACUUUUCUGUUCAUUUUAAGCAGCAAAAGUGAGGUGCAUGUCUGUGUACGUGUGUAUGGAGCCAUUGGGUGCGGUCACUAUAGCAACCAGGCUCACACCUGCCUGCUUAACGAGCUCUGCCUGCCACUCUGCCAAGAUUCAUCUUAAGCACUUCUCUUUCAACUGCUGCUGUGUCCACAGUGUUAAAGCCAUCAUUUUACCCUCAAAACGUCGCCAUCGUUGUUCUUUUUCCAACAUCUUGUCUUUCAAAGCUCAGAGAUGUAAACUUUUUAAACUGUGUGGGUCCAAGUGGAGGGAUCACAUUUUAGUCAUUCAGUGAUUCAAAGAAUAUAACCUUUUAAUAUUCUUUCAGAUGUUUUCUGACUCUAAAUGUUCUUUUCUCAUUUCUUAGGUUUUUCUAAUUUACAAUUAAAACAUUUUCAGCUUUUUUCCAACUUCUUCUUCUGUGUAACCUUCAGCUUUUAGCAGUUCAGCACUUUUGUUUUCAGGUUAAAUUCGUUUUUUUUUUUUGUUUUUUUUUUAUCUCAUUCAAUAUUUUUAACUCAAAAUUCAGCAAUUAAUUCAUUUCAGUGCAUACAUUCAGAUUCAAGCAUUCACACUGCAGUUUCUUCAGAAAAUGCACUUUCUAGUUAUUAUUAUUAUAUUUAUCUAUUCCGUACGUUUUUUGUAAUCCUAUAACUUCAAAACCGUUCAACUUAGAAAAACCAUUCAAACACCGUUAGAUUCCUAUUCUUUUGGACAACACUGCUUCUAUUUUUCAUAUUUUUAACAUUUAUAUUUUUAAUUUUAUUCAACUUUAUUCAACAAAAAUUUAUAAUGUAUUUCAAUGGGGAGACCCUUCAAAUCCUCAUUCAACUUACUCAUUUUUAAACUCUUACUACUUCCACAUACAUUGACAUAGAGCCACCAUUCAAACUUUAAAACGAAGACAAGACAUUCAACUAUUCAACUUGUAUUUAUCUUUUCAAUAUCUAUUAUACUUUUUCUUCAGUUCCAGUUUAAGUUUCAUGAUGUUUUUUCACCCGUUUCAGAGUUUAUAAUGGG
Molecule: long non-coding RNA, 1657 nt
Organism: Astatotilapia calliptera (eastern happy)
Lineage: Eukaryota; Metazoa; Chordata; Actinopteri; Cichliformes; Cichlidae
Source: Ensembl